Haemorhous mexicanus (house finch) is the source of this 7989-nucleotide long non-coding RNA. RefSeq lists it as uncharacterized. The record is from RefSeq and is a predicted model, not a curated record. The transcript is spliced from 2 exons. Lineage: Eukaryota; Metazoa; Chordata; Aves; Passeriformes; Fringillidae.
UCCAGAUGCAGAGGAUGAGUACCUGGACAGAAUACCGAGAAGUAAAAGCUGGAGAUGUAAGAGGCAGGCAAGGCCCAGAUAGACAAGGAAAAAGGAAAUUUGGUUAUGUGGAGGCCUGCAGAAGAAAAAGGAAUAAACAACUAAGGUCUGCAACCUGUGCAAUUCAUUAGCAAGAAAAGAAGAUAUGGUCACAGUAGCAGAAAAGGAAACUUUUAUGAAAUCCACAACUGAAUCCACAAAGAAAUUAAGUGCUGACAACUACCUCCAGCACUAAAAAAAUGGAGGUUUUGCGGUCUUCAAAGUCACCAUCUAAUUUUAAAAUACAAUAUCUCUUAGUUUGCAAAAGUUGCUUCUUUAGUAUAUUUGCUUCAAGUAUCAGUAUAUAUUGAUCUAUAUCUAUCUAUGUACAGAUAUCUAUCUAUCUAUGUAUAUGUCUACAUUGUCCAAAUCUGAAAAUUACUUAUCAUAAUGUCUUUUGAAAUUAAAAUUCAAGUUUGUUCUUGCUUGACAGUUUUUGCGAUUCCAGUUCCUGCUUUUGAAAUAGGACACCGUAGCCUAUUUUUCACUUUUUUCUUGGUUUUCCUGGAGCAGGUAAUGAGCUUUGUUUGGUUUGGAGAAGUCCUUUCAAGAGCGAUUUACUUACGUCAUUUUAUCUAAAUCAUCAGUAAAUCCUUUAUAUGUAGUAGGAUUACCAGCACAUGCAGAUACUAAUUACUUUUAAAAAUUACUUCCCAUGUUUAGGUAUAUGAAUUAAAAUGUGCCUUUGCAGAAUUUAUAUUUACUAACUCCUUUCUUUUUCCCUAAUGUCCCAAUCAGGUAAUUGUGAGGCCUGUUUUAAAACCCUAGGUACUGCUGAAAUAUCAGCAAAUACUAUAACACUGAUGUAUCAUGCUAGUCUUGCUCUUACAGUAGCUAAAUAAUGCAUUCAAAUCAGUAUUUAGACAAGUAGCUGAUAUUUAACACUGGUUUUGAAUUACUGCACUCAAGAUUAAUACAGAUUUCAGAAAGUUGCAGGUUUCUCUGAUGUUUUAAAACAGAGCAUUGUGCAAUGAGACUGUUAUUAGCUAUAUUAAUGUUUUAUAAGUAGAGCAGCUGUAAUUAAAAGAAAUAAGCUGGCAUUUUCAGUUCUUCUAUUUUCUCUGUACAGGUCUUAAUUACCCUACCAUAAAAGCUGUAACAUUUUUUCACAUUUUUGGGGCCUUUCUAUGUGUAAUGCAGAAUUCAAGCUGUUAUUCCUGCAUAAAUUCUUUAAUUUGGUCUUGCUAUAACAUAAAAAAUAUUUUAAAGUGUCACAACAUGUUGCAUUUACUGCAUACAUUCAUUGGGAGGAUCAGAAAACAAUGUAUAAAAGUAUAUCAGCUUCCUAGGGAACCUGACACUGCUACUGAUGUUGUUUGUUUUCAAUAUGAAAUAAUGAAGAAUACUUACUUCAAAUAUGUUUGCAUUUUCCUUCUGGGUAUUUUUGAAAAUACCUUUCAAUACAAGUUCUUAUUUCAAUAAAAAAACCUUAAAAGCAUUGCACAGAAUCAACUUCUGCUCCCAGGGUUGUUUUUACUGAUGUUAUUCUUUUUAAUGCAGUUCCAGCAAUUAAUAGAAAUGGUUCUGAGUGGAGACAUCUGGAACACAAAGAUAAUUAUUCUGUGUACUGUGACUUGAUACAAUGAGUGGAGCUAAGGAUAUGCUUUCUAUCUCUCCAGCAGCAAAAAGUGAUCUAUCAUCCCAUGAACAGUACUAAAAGAAAAGAAAUCCUAUCUUGUUUUAAAUAGGACUCUCUAUUUCCUGUUACAGAACCCCAAAGCCUCAAACAAUACUAAAAACAAAAUUUGCAGAUCCUGGGACAACCCCAGAGUAAGUAGUCAGAAAAGAAUAGCAUCUAUUUUUUUGUUCCAAAGGGAAUACAGAAAAUGUUCUUUCCUGCUCCUGAAGAUGAGAAUUUAUUAGACCUCUUAGCAGAUAAUUUAGUUUUACAGUAGAUUACCAGGAAUUAGUGAGAUUGGUUAUGUCCCUAAUUAUGUUUUUUUUUAAAUGCCCUUAGUCUACUUUGAAAAAUUUUGAAGUGGAACUUUAUUAUGCUUACAGAAUUGUUUAAAGGAGUAUAGCACUCUCAAAAUAAGGGUCACAGGUGGAAUGUAGGAAAGCCAAUAUAAAAGGUAAUGGAAAAAUCCACUAUUUCUCUUUACUGCUUAAAUUAUAUGAUUGGGUAAAUGGAUUUCUCUUCUUUCUAGGAGUGUGCUUCUACAUUAGUCCAGCAGCAAUUAGAGAGAAGUUGCUCUACAAAUUGUCUCCAUGAAUCAUGUAGUUCAUCUUUUUAUUGUGUAAAACAUAAAAAAUUACUCCUAAUCAAUGCACUUCAAUUUUCUAUCUCAAAAUCAUUUAUCAUCCCUUUUUGGCCUAGAGUACUUCUGAGAUGUUUUCCUGAAAUGAAAUAAAAGGAGUUGGUAUUUGUUUCAGUGAGCAGAAUAUGGCUAUGUGAGGUAAAUCUUACUGUGGAAGCAACAGAGACUCUACAUUUUACCUAAAAGCUCUUAACAAAUUGAUCAAUGCAUUUAGAAUAAUUAGUCCACAUUUCAGAUGUAAUAGUGGUCUCUUAUUUAAUAAAUAAAAGAUGCAUCUCUUGAUUGCAAUAAUAGACUCAUAGAAUAGAAUCAUAAAACACCCUGAGUUGGAAGGGACCCAGAAGGUUCAUCAAAUUCAACUCCUGCCCCUGCACAGCACAAUCCUCAAGAGUCACACCAUGUGCCUGAAAGCAUUGUCCAAAUGCUUUUUGAACUCUGCCAGGCUGAUGUUAUGAUCCUGAUGCAGGGACCCUGGGGAGCCUGUUCCAGUGCCCAGCCACUACUGGGGUAAAAAACCUUUCCUAAUGUCAAGCCUACAUCUCCUUUGACACAACUUCAGGCCAUUUCCUUGUGUACUCUCUCUGACCGCCACAGAGAUCAGUGCCUGCCCCUCCUCUUCCCCUCAUGAGGAAGUUGUAACUGCAGUGAGGUCUGUCCUCAGUCUCCUCCAGGCUGAACAGACCAAGCAGCCUCAGCUGCUACUCACACAGCUUCCCUCAAGGCUAUUCACCAUCUUUGUAGCCUCCUUUGGACACAGUCUAAUAGGUUUAGAUCCUUCUCAUAUUAUGGCACUCCAAACUGCCCCCAGCCCUGGAGGUGAGGCUGCCCCAGCUCAGAGCAGAGCAGGACAAUCCCCUCCCUUGCCCAGCUGGCGAUGCUGUGCCCGGUGCACCCCAGGACAGGAUUGGCCCUCCUGGCUGCCAGGGCACUGCUAACCCAUGUUCUACUUGCCAGGACCCCCAGGUCCCUUUCCAUGGCACUGCUUACAGCAUCUCAUUCCCAGUCUGUCCAUACAUCCAGGGUUGCCCCAUCCCAGAUGCAGAAUCCAGCACUUUCCCCUGCUGAGCUUCAUAUGCUGGUGAUUGCCCAGACCUCUGAUUUGUGGAGGUCUCUCUGCAGGGCCUCUCCCUGCCUUGGAGGGAGUCAACAGCUCCUCCCAGUUUUGUAUCAUCUGCAAACUUGCUCAGUAUCCCUUCCAGUCCUGUGUCCAGGUCAUUUAUGAAACUGCUGAAGAGCAGAGGGCUGAGGAUGGGGCCCUGUGGAACCCCUCCAGUGACAGGUUCCCAGUCUGAUGUCACCCCAUUCACUGUAACCUUUGUGCCUGGCCCAUGAUGCUCCCAUCCCAUUAUGUGUUUAUCCAGCUGUGGGCUGCCCAUUUUUUUCCCAGAAGAAUCCUGUGAGAGACAAUAAUGAAGGCUUUACUGAAAUCUAGAAACAUCACAACAACUGGGCUUUCUUGGUCAUCUCCCGGGCCCUUCAGAGAAAAUGCUUAAAAGAUGACCAGCACCGAUGGACCGCAGCACCUUCAAAAGCUUUUUCCCCACAAGACCUUUCUCACUAUUACUCUGAGCAGCCUGACGUCUGCUCUGCCCCUGUCCAGAGCUGAAGUUUUGCUGGCACUUCUCCAAUUAACAGAGAUUUUAAACUUGUUUGCUUUAUGAUCACUGUGUGGAGCUUUCUCCCUGAAGUCAGGAUGCCUACUUUGUGAUUAUUCUCCUGAAUAAGGGUUGAGAGAAAGGACUAUCAUCACUAUUGUACCCUAUCAUCAAUUCAGUGGUAAGUUACAUUGACUACUAAUCAUCCUGGCUAGAAGGUCUAUAGUAGAUUCUCACACUGACAUCCACAUUAUUUUUUUGUCUCCUAAUCCUUUCCCAAAAGCUCUCAGCAGUGACAACUGCAAGCUCCAUAUAUUCCAGUGCUCCAUUACAUACAAUGUCACCCACCUUCACCACCUAUCCCUCUUAAAGUUCCUGUAACCAUCCAAUAUGGCACAACACUCCCACUGGGAUUCACUUAUGCCAGUGAUGUCAUGUCUCUGGGACUGGACCAAGGCUUUGAGCUCCUUUUGCUCACUCUUUAAGUUGCAUAUGUUUGUGUAGAAACAUUUCAAGUAUGAUUCAUUGUAGCUAACACCUCCUAGAGCAGACUGAGGAUGCCUCUAGCACUCAGCUCCUCAAGUUUUGGCAUGCCAUCCCAUUCCUUACCACCGGCAAGCCUGGUUUUGUCCCUUACCUACUUAAAAACUUGUUUAACGAUCUAUCUGCUGCUAGCUCCUGUGUUAGACCCUUUUCCCUCUCUGAGAAAGGUGCAUCCCAUCAGAUGACGGUAGACCAGAUGGUGUUAAAAACACCAUCCCACAGUCAAAAUGCUCAUUUUUCCAGUUACAUCAGACUCGUAUGCAUGUAUUGGACUGAUCAGUCUGCCUAUUCCUUUUGUUAUUCUUUCUUGCUGCUGAAAUGACCAAGAAAAACACUACCUGUGUUCCUGAUCCUUGAACCAAUCAUCCAAGGUGAUGAUUCAACACUGAAAUGUCUUAUUUUCUUAAAGAUACUAAAUUAUUUUGAACUUUCUGACCUACAGAUAGCAAGUUGCUUAACUAAAUAAGGGUUCUUUCUGGCUUAUAUUCCUCUGAGAAUUACAGAGAUUUCUUUUGUGAACAGUAGUGUUUUGUCAGCUUAAUGAUAGUUAUUAGCUCCUAGAAUAUAAUAUUCAUUGUGUUCAGGUUAAAGAACAGUUAGGAGAUAUGAUGAUAGGCUACUACUUUGUCAGGAAAUUAUUAAAUCUCUGUAUUUUCUGUAGUAUACAGGUGUGAUAUUAUUCAUGGCUGGACUAUUGCAAGGCUUAAUUAGUUGCUCUUGAGAUGCCCUGGCAGAGGGGGUUCUAAAGAGUACUGUUGUCUGAAUAAAUAUUUUGAGUCCAGUUUUGUAAUCCUCUGGAAAACAAUUAUAUUAUUACAGCGGGUAAAAAGCUAGAAUUCCAUGUCAUUAUAACAGUCAAACUUCUGAAGUUUGUUUCUCUUCUGUGCUGGAGUAAAAUCAAAACUUUUAAAGAAUUUUCACAAGAAAAAUUGCAUUGUAAUAGCAUUUUCUGAAAAAAUUAUUCAGAUUUUCAGUUUCAUCUUCUCUCAAUGGAAAUAACUGCCCAACUUAGGAUGUUUAAAACCUUUCUAACAAAAACUCCGUAGAGCUGACAAUGUCUUAUAUACACGUCAGCUUGGACAAUCAAGAUAUUGUCUCAAAAAUGUGUUUUUUGAAAAUGCUGCAACCAGAUUUACUGAUUUAAGUAUUUUCUGAUCAAUUUGAUCUUACUUGUGAUGUACCUGUACACAGAAACUAUGAUCUAAGGUUAUUCAAAUUUGACUUCCAUAUCCAUUUUUAGUUUUGCUGAAAGUAGUGGCGCCACAAAUAAAUCAUAUUCAGAAUGUCGUAAUGUUCCUAUUGGUACAUAAUAAUGAUACUUGAAAAUUUAUUAAGAUAGCAAAAAGUCUUCUCUAACUGUUUAAGUGAACCAGUGCAAUCAUUCUGUACAGCGCGUGUGAAACUCUAAUGCCCACUGCCUAAUAUGGCACGUGGCACCAGAGAACUGAGAAGUGAGCAGGUUCAAUUCUGACUCACAGAUGGAUAUGUGCAUCCAAAAUUCUCAUUUCAGUGUAUUCUGACUCUUAAAUGGCUAUGUGCAAACGAAAAUUCACAUGGUUUAAUUGGCCAACAGCAUGCAAGUACAGGAAAAAAACUGUUCAAACUCAUAAAUUCCAGGUUGAAUUUUUAAGGCUAAAAGAUAGACUAGAAGUCUCUUCAACCCUAUCAAAGUUUGUGCUGGAAAUUUUCUGGGUCAAAUUUUUAAUUAGAAUGUUACUUUAUGGUGAGUUAUACUUUUUAGGUGAAGGUGUCCUAGAACAACAGCAGGAAUUUCUACAUGCUUCCAAAAUUACCUUCACAGCCAGUGAAAGCUGGCUUGGAAAGCCAGAAAAUAAACUCUUAUCUCUGGGGUCCUAAUAUCUAAUACUGAUAAAACUAUUAUUACUAGUGCUCAACAGGAUUCUCAAAGAUUUGCUGUGUUCAGCAAAUGUGUCUGUCUGGUUCUUCAGAACACUGGGAGGAGGGAUGCAGGCUGUAUUUCAAAAAAAUUUUCUCAUGGUGCUUGGUUAUUAUAUCACAUAGCCUCUGAAUUUGGGUUUCAAAGAGCAGAUGAGAAAUACCAUUUACUGUCGUUUAAUGAGUGUACACGCAGUUCCAGAUAGGCUACUGUACUGCUUGUAAGUAUGGGAAGAGAUUUUUCAGAAAUAUUUGGAAAAAUGUGGUGCUUCUGAGUGCAGAUAAAGGGUUGGUUGGAACAGAAACAGAACUUACAAUGCAAACAAUAAGGUGCAAAUGCCAUUAUUGGCAUUAGUGUAGAUCUAAUUAUCUUGGACCUACUUAUUAUAAUCUAGCUCAAGAAAGGCAGGUAUGUAGGUAUAAGAAAUUAGAGCUUUGCUCCAGCAUUACAGGCAUUUUGAAGGACAUUGCUAGAUCUUUUGAAGCCUCCUGUUAUAUAGAGCUGUAGACUUAUCUUAGAGGCCACUAUGCUUAUCAUCAUUCUUGGGGUCAGGUUUCUUUUCUUUUAUUCGUUUUUACCUACAGAACUGCAGCCCCGCACCCCUGCCUGCCGAGACUCCUGCCAUCCCGGCUUGGUGCUCCUCAGACUCCUGCUGGGACAGCGGGAUCGGCUGCCCCAGAGUUUUCAAGGCGAAGCCUCUCCGCCAUCCCUUCCCGUCCGGGCCGAGCCGCCAUCGCCGCGCGCUCCCCGCGCCACAGCGCCCCCUGCAGCCGCGGGGGAGUCACCGCGCCUGCCCCGCCCCCCGGGAGCCAGCAGCGCCCCCGCUGGCCGUGCCCGGAACUGCAGCAGAGGGAAAGGGCCCGCGGCCGAGAAGGCCGGGCCUGGGCCCCGGGCUCUGUCUGGGGUCAGCGCCCGGCCGUGCGGGUUUGUUUGCUGUGUCAUACAUGCAGUAAAGAAAUGCUACUCCUACCCUCAUCUCUUUGCCCGAGAGCCCCUUCAUUUCAAAAUUAUAAUAAUUCAGUGUGUAGUAUAUGGUAGAGAUAAUUCAUGCUAUAUAUGUGUAUAAAAUCCAAACUAUGUCUUUGACCACCCUGGUUGGGAACAGAGUCUUAUUUCUAUUCAAUUAGUUCCUGGACAAUGUUAAGAUAACAUGAAGUCUGUUAACGUAUGAAUGAAACCUUCUUGGGCCAUGAUUGCUGAUUUCCCUGGAAUGUCUAAGCCACUCACAAGGAGUUGCACCUGGGAAGAUAGCAUCUACCAAACUCGAGCACCAGCACCACUCUGCUACAUGUGAAUGCAGGCUCUUCCGAAAAGUUCAGACAACCAUCCAGACAUCUGGACUGGCUUUUGUAUAUUUCUGCGUCUGUAUGGUCCCGGUUCUACAUGUGAAGGGACACGAACCUUCUGUCAUUUCUGCCUCCAGAAGAAUAAAUGGGAUAUAAGCUAGCGGCAUGAAGCAGUCGGGGUGAACCUCUGAGGAGACGCUGGCACUCUGUCAGUCUGAUCCAGGUUCACCCAGUGCCGACUUCUGGGGAUGACGCUGCCUUGGCUGUGGUGGUUUUUCAAAAUUCUGUUUUUGUUAUUGAUCGAAUAAAUCUUUGUUAAAUUUUAUUAUAAA